CUACGGGAGGCAGCAGUGAGGAAUAUUGCACAAUGAGGGGAACCCUGAUGCAGCAACGCCGCGUGGAGGAUGACGCAUUUCGGUGUGUAAACUCCUUUUAUAUGUCAAGAAAAUGACGGUAGCAUAUGAAUAAGCACCGGCUAACUCCGUGCCAGCAGCCGCGGUAAUACGGAGGGUGCAAGCGUUACUCGGAAUCACUGGGCGUAAAGGACGCGUAGGCGGGUUGGAAAGUCAGGUGUGAAAUCCUACAGCUUAACUGUAGAACUGCACUUGAAACUUCUAAUCUAGAGUAUGGGAGGGGGAGAUGGAAUUAGUGGUGUAGGGGUAACAUCCGUAGAUAUCACUAGGAAUACCUAAAGCGAAGGCGAUCUCCUGGAACAUUACUGACGCUAAGGCGUGAAAGCGUGGGGAGCAAACAGGAUUAGAUACCCCUGUAGUC
Molecule: ribosomal RNA, 439 nt
Filed under: uncultured bacterium
Lineage: Bacteria
Description: partial 16S ribosomal RNA
Rfam family: Bacterial small subunit ribosomal RNA
Source: RNAcentral